CAGCCGGAUGGGCUCGCUUUGUCCUGGUGCGCAUGGGGCAUUGAGAGCAAGCUGAGCUGCCUGGAAGUGCCUGCAAGCCCAGCGUGCAGGUGGCGAACCACAAGCAAACCUCAGAGCUCGGGUGAGCGCAUGUCGGAGUGUGGGUGAGCUGAGGAAGAGAACAGAGGGCUUUUUUUUUUUUUUAAUAAAGGUUGAGACGGAAAUUGUAGCCAGAGCAGGAAAGAGCCUGCAGAAGGCAGAACUGUUGAAGCUAAAACAAAAAACAUACACUGAAACAAGCAGAAAAAACCCCCACAGUGUAAUGUGUAAUAAGGGAGAGAGUGGACUGAAGCAAAGAAGUCAAAAGAAGUUUUUAACUAAACCACAGGAGAUGUCGGCCUGUUUUCGAGCUGUUUUUGAGGAAAUGUGGUGAAUGUAAACUUACUCUGUUUGGGGGGAAAAUUCUGGUAAGUGGUGCUGUCUUGAUUAAUUUUGUUUUUCAAUGACARUUUCAGAGAGAGAUUGCUUUA
Long non-coding RNA from Apteryx rowi (Okarito brown kiwi), 509 nucleotides. The record is from Ensembl. NCBI's taxonomy places the organism in Eukaryota, Metazoa, Chordata, Aves, Apterygiformes, Apterygidae.